Small nucleolar RNA from Hevea brasiliensis (rubber tree), 107 nucleotides. The record is from RefSeq and is a predicted model, not a curated record. Lineage: Eukaryota; Viridiplantae; Streptophyta; Magnoliopsida; Malpighiales; Euphorbiaceae.
AUGCCAAGGUCUGGGCACUCCCUCUGAAGAUCUUUGUACCUUUCCCAUGCAUCAUAAAGAGAUUUAUUAUCCUUUUGUCUAAAAGUAUUGAGUUUAGCAUGGAGUUU